Molecule: long non-coding RNA, 1343 nt
Filed under: Marmota monax (woodchuck)
Lineage: Eukaryota; Metazoa; Chordata; Mammalia; Rodentia; Sciuridae
Source: RNAcentral
AUUGUAUUAGCAUUCUCUAGAAAACAGAACCAUAUGUAUAUGAUUAUAAAUAAUUUAUUAGAUGGCUUACACAACCAGAAACUGGAUAGUCAACAAUGGUUGUCUGCAGAUGAGAGAGCUAAAGGAACCAAUAGUUGCUCACUCCAGGAAUUUGGAACUUCUGAAAAAGAAGGACCAAGGAUGCCUCCCCAGGCCAGGAUAGAAGACCUGGAAAUUCCCUGCAGAGUAGCGGGUCAGAGUCGACUAUGGAAAAGUGAAGGAGCAGGAGUCCGAGGUCCUCUGGUGAUUGCAGCAGAAACUGAAGCACUGCUCAAGAAGAUGGGGCUACAUCUGCAUUAAAGUUUCCUUGCUCUUCCAUAUUUUUCUUCUAGCCAGGCUCUCAACUUACCGGACUGUGCUGCCCACAUUUAGGGUGAGUCUCCCCCCUCAGUUUGUUGUCCCACAAGCCAAUCAUUCCUAGGAACAACCUCAUUGACACACCCAGAAGCCUCUUAAUCCUAGGCAUCUCUUAAUCCAAUCAAGUGGACAAUUCAGAUUAAUCAUCACAAUUACUUUGUUGGUUGCUGGAUAUUUUCCUAUUUUUUAAACUAUUAAAGCAAGGGCCUUCUAAGUACUCUAUCCAUUUCCCUAUGAAUUAUGAUAAUUUCCCAUCUUAGUUUAAUAAUUGAGACAGGUACUAACUACUUUCAGUCUCGAGUAGCUGCUUCACACCUGCAUGCAGGCUAGUUCUCUGCUGAGGUCUUAAGAGAGACCCUCUGCAGACCUCCAGUGUUGUGUGUGCACAGCUCUCUUCUGUAUGGUGAUCUGUACUGUGGAUUCCCUGGGCUCCAUGGAAAUCUGCCUUUGAUCUUCCUGCACUCUGCGAUUCCCAAAUUAGGGAGGCUUCCAAAGUCUCUCUGAGUUCCCCUACAAGCUCCUGAUACAGAAACCAAUUGUAAGCUCACGUUAUUUGUUUUAUAUCUCCAAGGGAUCAUUGUUUUUUGUUGCCUGAUGUCCACUGUCUUGAAAACUGUUGUUUUAAGCAGAAGUAUAAAUUUGGCCAUGUUAUUCCAUCUUUUCCAGAAUGAAAUUUCUACUUUUAAGUUCCUAUAAGAGGUUUUCGUUAGUUUCUCCUUUUCUUUUCUUUUCCUUCCUUCUUUCUUUCUUUCUUUCUUUCUUUUUUUCACUUUUAUUUGGGCAUUAUAGUCAUAAUUAACAGUUGGGUUCAUUCUGAUAUGAUCAUACAUAAAUGGAAUUUAAUUUAUACCAUUUCAGUUCCCAAUGACCCCUUUUUCCUUCUCUCCUUCCUCCCCCUAUUCCUUUUCUUCUACUCUAUUGGUUUACCUUCUCUCUCUCUCUCUGUC